CGGAUACCUGCUGGAGUCAAAGAAAGGCAUGUGAACCUUGAAGGGAAACAUUUGUUAGAUUUAUAUCGUUCAGUUGUUAUCCCUUCGUCCCAAGAAAAGGCUACAAAUCGUUAAGAUUUCCUUCACUUGAUUCAGCCUGUACAGAAUCUCUAUGUUGCUGGAGUCGAGUUCAGGAAAAGAGAGGAUGCAGAGAGCUUCUUGGACAUUAAAUUUGGUCCCCAUGGAGUCCUUGAAAUCCCUUUUUUAUCCAUAGGUGAUACUGUUAGCCCUUUCUCACUGAAUUGUGUUGCGUUUGAACAGGGCUAUAAUCGUGAACAGUGCUCCAGCAACUUCAAGUCAUAUGUUACUUUCAUAGGCUGCCUCAUCAACACCCCUGCCGAUGCAGGAUACUUGCGGGAUCGCCAAAUUAUUGAGAAUUACUUCGGAACAGAUGAAGAGAGAAGAGAAAAACGGAAAAAACUACCAAUAAUACUCCUGUCGAUAGCAAAAAAAAGAGGUUAUGAGAGUAUUCAAAGAUCUGUUCGUUGAUCAACAAAGGCAUGAGAUUAAAGUACUCAAAACUCCCAGUUGUUGCAUAUGGAGAAAACCAGGGAAAAGUGGCAAAGAUUUCAGAAUCAGAAGCUUUUCUGAGCUAUUCGACAGAGGUUCUCCGGAUUGGGAUUACCCAGAAGCAAUUCUUAACACACAUAACAAGUGUGCUUAUGACCCAGAUGUUGCGACCGACACAAAUUCAGAAGUGACAACUCCUUAAUUGCUUACAAUAGUAGGAACUGAAGACCCAGACUCAGACAACGAGACAAGGACUAAUUAAGUAGGGUCGCGUAUGGCGG
RNAcentral lists this unclassified non-coding RNA (830 nucleotides) under Hevea brasiliensis (rubber tree). The record is from RNAcentral. Lineage: Eukaryota; Viridiplantae; Streptophyta; Magnoliopsida; Malpighiales; Euphorbiaceae.